This 502-nucleotide ribosomal RNA is filed under the name uncultured bacterium. Its description in RNAcentral is "bacterial SSU rRNA". It matches the Rfam family "Bacterial small subunit ribosomal RNA", at positions 791 to 1301 of the family's 1533-position model. The record is from RNAcentral.
UAGUCCACGCCCUAAACGAUGUUCACUGGAUGUGUGUAUUUAUAUGCGCAUCUGAGCGAAAGCAUUAAGUGAACCACCUGGGGAGUACGCCCGCAAGGGUGAAACUCAAAGGAAUUGACGGGGGCCCGCACAAGCGGUGGAGCAUGUGGUUUAAUUCGAUGAUACGCGAGGAACCUUACCAGGGCUUAAAUGCAUAACGAUCGUCAUGGAAACAUGAUUUUCUUCGGACGGAAUGCAAGGUGCUGCAUGGUUGUCGUCAGCUCGUGCCGUGAGGUGUCGGGUUAAGUCCCAUAACGAGCGCAACCCCUAUUCUUAGUUGCCAGCGGAUAAUGCCGGGGACUCUAAGAAAACUGCCAGUGUAAGCUGUGAGGAAGGUGGGGAUGACGUCAAAUCAUCACGGCCCUUACGUCCUGGGCUACACACGUGCUACAAUGGUCGGUACAGAGGGCAGCUACCUAGUGAUAGGAUGCAAAUCUCUAAAGCCGGCCCUAGUUCGAAUUGG